AACGAACGCUGGCGGCAUGCCUAACACAUGCAAGUCGAACGAUGCUUUCGGGCAUAGUGGCGCACGGGUGCGUAACGCGUGGGAAUCUGCCCUUGGGUUCGGAAUAACAGUGAGAAAUUGCUGCUAAUACCGGAUGAUGUCUUCGGACCAAAGAUUCAUCGCCCAGGGAUGAGCCCGCGUAGGAUUAGCUAGUUGGUGGGGUAAUGGCCUACCAAGGCGACGAUCCUUAGCUGGUCUGAGAGGAUGAUCAGCCACACUGGGACUGAGACACGGCCCAGACUCCUACGGGAGGCAGCAGUGGGGAAUAUUGGACAAUGGGCGCAAGCCUGAUCCAGCAAUGCCGCGUGAGUGAUGAAGGCCUUAGGGUUGUAAAGCUCUUUUACCCGGGAUGAUAAUGACAGUACCGGGAGAAUAAGCUCCGGCUAACUCCGUG
RNAcentral lists this ribosomal RNA (433 nucleotides) under uncultured bacterium. Its description in RNAcentral is "partial 16S ribosomal RNA". It matches the Rfam family "Bacterial small subunit ribosomal RNA", at positions 29 to 507 of the family's 1533-position model. The record is from RNAcentral.